RNAcentral lists this ribosomal RNA (408 nucleotides) under uncultured bacterium. Its description in RNAcentral is "partial 16S ribosomal RNA". It matches the Rfam family "Bacterial small subunit ribosomal RNA", at positions 28 to 526 of the family's 1533-position model. The record is from RNAcentral.
GACGAACGCUGGCGGCGUGCUUAACACAUGCAAGUCGAACGAAGUGGCGAACGGGUGAGUAACGCGUAAUCAACCUGCCAUUCAGCGGGGGACAACAGUUGGAAACGACUGCUAAUACCGCAUACUGAAGGAGGGGAUUGCGUCUGAUUAGCUAGUGGGAGGGGUAACGGCCCACCAAGGCGAUGAUCAGUAGCCGGACUGAAAGGAUGAACGGCGAAAGUGGGACUGGUACACGGCCCAGACUCCUAAGGGAGGCAGCAGUGGGGAAUCUUCCGCAAUGGACGAAAGUCUGACGGAGCAACGCCGCGUGAGUGAUGACGGCCUUCGGGUUGGAAAGCUCUGUUAAUCGGGACGCGGUACCGGAAUAGAAAGCCACGGCUAACUACGUGCCAGCAGCCGCGGUAAUAC